Anolis carolinensis (green anole) is the source of this 2595-nucleotide long non-coding RNA. NCBI's taxonomy places the organism in Eukaryota, Metazoa, Chordata, Lepidosauria, Squamata, Anolidae. The record is from Ensembl.
GAGCUAAAGCUCAAAAGUGACAUGCACAAGAAGUGGAAAAGGGGAGAAAUCACCAAAGAAGAAUUCAAACGUAUAGCCAACACUGUAGGGAAAAGGUUCGCAAGGCUAAAGCGCAAAAUGAGCUCAGGCUUGCCAGGGACAUAAAAAACAACAAAAAAGGCUUUUUUGCUUACGUUGGUAGAAAAAGGAAGAAAAAAAGAGGUGAUAGGGCCAUUGCAAGGAGAAGAUGGGGUGAUGGCGACAGGGGACAGGGAAAAGGCAGAACUACUUAAUGCCUUCUUUGCCUCGGUCUUCUCAGAAAAAGAAAGCCAUCUUCAACCUCAGCAACACGGAAUGGACGAAGGAUUGGGGGAAAUCCAACCCCAAAUAGGGAAACAAGUUGUCCAGGAACACUUGGGCUCUCUAAACGAAUUCAAGUCCCCAGGGCCAGAUCAGCUACACCCAAGAGUACUGAAGGAACUAGCGGAAGUUAUUUCAGAACCACUGGCAAUUAUCUUCGAGAGUUCUUGGAGAACGGGAGAAGUCCCAGCAGAUUGGAGGAGGGCGAAUGUGGUCCCUAUCUUCAAGAAGGGAAAAAAGAACGACCCAAACAAUUACCGUCCGGUCAGCCUCACAUCAAUACCAGGCAAGGAUCUGGGAAAAAUUGCCCAAAUAUGAACGGAAGGACAGCUGCGAGAGAAGAGAGAUGCGAUGCAUCGUGGGAAACUCGACCACGUAGGCCGAGAGGCAGCAAAAAGAAAAGAAAGAAAAAAGCCGCAGGCAGCAAAGACCACACGCUGAGCCGGCCACAGUUGGCCGGCAUGCAUCCCCUAGAGAGAGAGAGAGAGAGAGAAAAAAAACCAGAGGACCCCGACCCAAAGGAAGGAUCUGGGAAAAAUUGCCCAAACGUGUGCGGAGGGACAGCAGCGAGAGAAGAGAGAUGCGAUGCAUCGUGGGAAACUCGACCACGUAGGCCGAGAGGCAGCAAAAAGAAAAGAAAGAGAAAAGCCGCAGGCAGCAAAGACCCCACCCUGAGCCGGCCACAGUUGGCCGGCAUGCAUCCCUGAGAGAUCGGCCCGGCCCUCCCACAAAGUUUUCUGCUUUAGCGACCUUAGCCUCUACCCACGCCAACACCCCACCACCCAAGGGGAAGGGCGUGUUUUCUUCACGUCUGCUAUUGAAAUGUGGGCCCAAGCCCCUCUGACCAGGGGGGCCGGCCACCGUUGGCCGGCCCCACGCCCACACCCCACCACCCAAGGGGAAGGGCGUGUUUUCUUUACGUCUGCUAUUGAAAUGUGGGCCCAAGCCCCUCUGACCAGGGUGCCCGGCCACCGUUGGCCGGCCCCACGCCAACACCCCACCACCCAAGGGGAAGGGCGUGUUUUCUUUACGUCUGCUAUUGAAAUGUGGGCCCAAGCCCCUCUGACCACCGUUGGCCGGCCCCACGCCCACACCCCACCACCCAUGAGAUCUCACCCUGCACUGCCCAUUUCUGCCUAGAAGCAGGAAUUUCCUUCUUGAUUGUCUCUCUCAUACCACGGUGUUUGUCACAUUACCCUGGCCGAUCACAAACAAGAUCCAAGGGCUCCAUUCCACCAUGUUUCCUAACCAGACUUCUGUGUCAACCAGACCAGAGCCCCAAAGUCUCUAGCCGCCACAAAGGCACACUCCCUGACAGCAAACCGUCAGCGGCCCUGGCCGCACCCCUACCGGAUGGACACAAGCAAGCUGGCAGUCCGCAGGGUAGUCGUGGCCACCAUCACAUCAAUAAUGAUUAUAACAAUAAUAACAACAGUAAGAUCUUUAUUUUUAUUCCCCGCCCCAUCUUCCCGGAGGGACUCUGAGCGGCUUCCAUGGGGCAUGCCUGUCAACAAUACAAUGGCAGAAAUAAAACCAAAAAAAUAUAUACAAGAAAAUGUUGCAUCAAUAACACAUAAAAUAAAACAGCUGUCACAGUCAGCAUACAGCAUUACCUGCUUAAAAAACAGUGGUGUAAAAACACGGCUCUGGUCCGAGGGCAGAAUACUUCCACAGAGAUGAGGUAGUUUGACAGUUAAAAAUCAAUAAAGUGCGAAAUACUCUUGGCCUGGCAACCAAUUCUUCAAUAGGCAACGAUCCACCACACAGUCUUCGAAGGAUUUUUGGAAGAGGAAGGUUUUAAGGCUCUGAUGUUAGGCUCAUGUUUCUAUGUAGUUGAACUAGAGGGAAGACUUGUGUGUGUCUGGUGUUAUUAAAGUUCUCUAGCAGAUGAGCUGGAAAGAGGGAAAUGACUUCUGUUGGUAUACAGUUUCAGUAAAGUUGAGGAAGUAAAAUAAUGAAAGAUAUUGUCUUUAUGGAGUAGAAAUGAAACCAAAGAACUUAAAUAUAGCACAAAUGUUGAGAAAAAAGAAACCAUGAAGACAUAACUCAUUGUUUUUAAUAGCAAUACAGAGUUUCUGAGUGGUUUGUUUCUCUACUUAUGAGUCUGCGGAAGAUUAGCAUCACAUACCACACCCGCUCAAGGCGAUGGGACAGUGAAAGAAGACAAUUUUGAGAAGUGGCGAAGGCCGAGGUGUCCCACUUUCUGCGGUGUGAUUCCACCCUCUUCUAUCGCCCCACCAAAAAGCCAGCAAAAAG